RNAcentral lists this ribosomal RNA (253 nucleotides) under uncultured bacterium. RNAcentral's name for it is "partial 16S ribosomal RNA". It matches the Rfam family "Bacterial small subunit ribosomal RNA", at positions 524 to 776 of the family's 1533-position model. The record is from RNAcentral.
UACAGAGGGGGCAAGCGUUGUUCGGAAUUACUGGGCGUAAAGGGCGCGUAGGCGGUUUGUCACGUCGGGCGUGAAAACUCAGGGCUCAACCCUGAGCGUGCGUUCGAUACGGGCAGACUAGAGGUAUGCAGGGGAAAACGGAAUUCCUGGUGUAGCGGUGGAAUGCGCAGAUAUCAGGAGGAACACCGGUGGCGAAGGCGGUUCUCUGGGCAUUACCUGACGCUGAGGAGCGAAAGCAUGGGGAGCGAACAGG